Long non-coding RNA from Magnolia sinica, 263 nucleotides. RefSeq lists it as uncharacterized. Lineage: Eukaryota; Viridiplantae; Streptophyta; Magnoliopsida; Magnoliales; Magnoliaceae. The transcript is spliced from 3 exons. The record is from RefSeq and is a predicted model, not a curated record.
GUUCGCUACAAUGUAUAUGUUUGUGUCUUUCCUUUGCAGAUAUGGGCUAUAGAGAGAUUACCGGCCCUACGAGAGUGUGUUAUUUCGUUUGUUCCCUCGCAAAUUCCACGCUUCAUUCAAUAUCGAGGCUGGAAGGGUUGGAGGUACAACAAAAUACAUGUAAUUUUUUAGAGUGAAGCUACUAUCUUAAUAAAGAACUUGGAACCCACCCUACGAGAAUGGGAAACGGACGCCGUUCGCUUGCUUCGUGAUAGUUUUCAGGU